AGCACAUUGAGGAUGAGAAGGUGGAGGAGGAGAGGGAUGAUGAAGAUGAGGCGGCGGCGGAGGUGAGGAGGAGGUGGCACGGUAGUGGUUGUAGUGGUGGUCUUCUUCCUUGUGGAGGGUAGUGGUGCCUCUUGUGUCUGGGUUGAGUGGGGUCUGGUGGCUGUUGUGUUCUCUCUUCUAGCCUGCUGGGAGAGUUCUGUCACAACACGCAUGAGGAGGGCUUUGUCAAGGGUAUCUGGAUCCUCUGGAGCCGGUGGAGAUGGUGGUCUGGUGGAGUGAAGAGGUGAUAGUGGGGUCCGGAGAGGACUGGAGGGCUGGUGGAGUGAAGAGGUGAUAGUGGGGGUCCGGAGAGGACUGGAGGGCUGGUGGAGUGAAGAGGUGAUAGUGGGGGUCCGGAGAGGACUGGAGGGCUGGUGGAGUGAAGAGGUGAUAGUGGGGGUCCGGAGAGGACUGGAGGGCUGGUGGAGUGAAGAGGUGAUAGUGGG
This 485-nucleotide long non-coding RNA is filed under the name Salmo salar (Atlantic salmon). RNAcentral's name for it is "lncRNA (ENSSSAG00000103252.1)". Lineage: Eukaryota; Metazoa; Chordata; Actinopteri; Salmoniformes; Salmonidae. The record is from RNAcentral.